RNAcentral lists this ribosomal RNA (256 nucleotides) under uncultured bacterium. RNAcentral describes it as "partial 16S ribosomal RNA". It matches the Rfam family "Bacterial small subunit ribosomal RNA", at positions 793 to 1055 of the family's 1533-position model. The record is from RNAcentral.
GUCCACGCCGUAAACGAUGAGUACUAAGUGUUGGGAGUCAAAUCUCAGUGCUGCAGUUAACGCAAUAAGUACUCCGCCUGAGUAGUACGUUCGCAAGAAUGAAACUCAAAGGAAUUGACGGGGGCCCGCACAAGCGGUGGAGCAUGUGGUUUAAUUCGAAGCAACGCGAAGAACCUUACCAGGUCUUGACAUCGAUCUAAAGGCUCCAGAGAUGGAGAGAUAGCUAUAGAGAAGACAGGUGGUGCAUGGUUGUCGU